CCUACGGGUGGCAGCAGUGGGGAAUAUUGCACAAUGGGGGAAACCCUGAUGCAGCGACGCCGCGUGAGCGAUGAAGUAUUUCGGUAUGUAAAGCUCUAUCAGCAGGGAAGAAAAUGACGGUUCCUGACUAAGAAGCCCCGGCUAACUACGUGCCAGCCACCGCGGUAAUACGUAGGGGUCAAGCGUGUUCCAGAUUUCCUGUGGGUAAAGUGAGCGUAGACGGAUUGGCAAGCCAGAUGGGAAAGGCUGGGGCUCAACCCCAGGACUGCAUUUGGAACUGUCAUGCUAGAGUGUCGGAGAGGCAGGCGGAAUUCCUAGUGUAGCGGUGAAAUGCGUAGAUAUUAGGAGGAACACCAGUGGCGAAGGCGGCCUGCGGGACGAUGACUGACGCUGAGGCUCGAAAGCGUGGGGAGCAAACAGGAUUAGAUACCCUUGUAGUC
Molecule: ribosomal RNA, 440 nt
Filed under: uncultured bacterium
Lineage: Bacteria
Description: partial 16S ribosomal RNA
Rfam family: Bacterial small subunit ribosomal RNA
Source: RNAcentral